AUUGAACGCUGGCGGCAGGCCUAACACAUGCAAGUCGAGCGGAUGAAGGGAGCUUGCUCCUGGAUUCAGCGGCGGACGGGUGAGUAAUGCCUAGGAAUCUGCCUGGUAGUGGGGGAUAACGUCCGGAAACGGGCGCUAAUACCGCAUACGUCCUGAGGGAGAAAGUGGGGGAUCUUCGGACCUCACGCUAUCAGAUGAGCCUAGGUCGGAUUAGCUAGUUGGUGGGGUAAAGGCCUACCAAGGCGACGAUCUGUAACUGGUCUGAGAGGAUGAUCAGUCACACUGGAACUGAGACACGGUCAAGACUCCUACGGGAGGCAGCAGUGGGGAAUAUUGGACAAUGGGCGAAAGCCUGAUCCAGCCAUGCCGCGUGUGUGAAGAAGGUCUUCGGAUUGUAAAGCACUUUAAGUUGGGAGGAAGGGCAGUAAGUUAAUACCUUGCUGUUUUGACGUUACCAACAGAAUAAGCACCGGCUAACUUCGUG
This 484-nucleotide ribosomal RNA is filed under the name uncultured bacterium. RNAcentral describes it as "partial 16S ribosomal RNA". It matches the Rfam family "Bacterial small subunit ribosomal RNA", at positions 30 to 507 of the family's 1533-position model. The record is from RNAcentral.